CAAGUAGCAGAGCCGAAGUUUUUCAGAGAUUUUUCUGUGUGCCAAAGCGAGAUGCCCUGUCUUCUCUCUCUAGAUUUUGGACAGCAAACCGCCGCGCGUGUAGAGGUGUGUGCGUGUGACGAAAAAUGAUGGAUGAAAAACGCGAGGAGCGGGGUCUGAAGUCUUUCGUUGGUCGGAUUGCGCUACACCGAGUCUACCCAUCUCUCUCGAUCUACCAUGAUUUUUUCUGCUAUCGCACUCAUCCGGGUGUUAGGCAUCCUCAGUCUGUCCAGAACUUUCGUUGUGGAAGGAUGUGCGGGAGUGAUGCGCGAUUUCUUGUGUCCCCUACUUUCCUUGUUUACGUUUUGCACAGUGUUGCUUCUUAUUCCAUUGUGGAAUGAUUUAUCCUAGCUAACUUGUUGAGUUACAGGUGCAUGCGCCAUUCAUCAACGCCUACCUGUUGGCAUCAUCAACAACCUUCAAAGUGGGUGACGGAAAGAAAUUGUUUUCCAGUUUUAAAAUAUUAAGCGUUCAGCACAACUCAGCCACAAAACAACGGACUGGAUUGCGCUAAGAACCUUUCGAAACGCGCGCAGCCCCCGGGAGCGGUAGGACAAAGGAAGAACGAGAGGAGGAAAAACUAAAGCCAGCGCGCAGCUCUGAUGGUACCCCGUACGCGGUAAGAAGAAAAAUGAUCGAGAGGAGUGUUAGAAACUAACAAAGAAACCGAAUUUUUUAGGCUUAGGCGUGGUGCCAAAAAAUUAGUUUUUAUUUUAGGCGUUUUGUGGCUUGUUCUCUCGGUGAGUUCGUUUUACUGAAAGGGCAGAAACUGCCGUUCGUUCCCUAUUUAAACUAUUUUUGUCCUAUCCGCGAUGCGCUUGGCUGACAGUUCGGCGGAACCCUACAACGGUUACAACAUUGUCCCCCGAGCGAGACGCUUUUCAUUUCAUUUCAUUUCAUUUCAUUUCAUUUAUUAAUUUGAAUAUGUCUGCCUCUGGGGUUGAACAUAUAAUUGCUUAAAACCUAGUUAGCCCUAUUGGUAACUAAACUAACUGAAACUUAACUAAACUAAGGGGAAAUAGAAAAGGAUGUAACAGAAUGGAAAUCCAUAGUGAAAAGAAAAUAAGCAGCGGAUAAGAAGAAAAUAUUUAAAACAAAAAAGAAAUUAAGAAUAACAGAAACAUAAUUAGAAAGAAUAACAAAGAGCCGGAACAUAAAAUUAGAAAUUAAAAUCCCGGUAAUGUUCAUUGAAUUGACGCAAACAAAUUAGCCACGGGUCGUUAAUGCCAAACGCUGUAUUGCGGAAAGGUAUUUCAAGAGCAGUCCGAUUUCUUAAACACCUGGAAGGAACAUACCAACUAAGUUGGGAAAGCAAGUCUGGAGCAUCUAUAUUCCCUCGUAACAAAUUGCUGAUAAAUGACACACAUGCUUUAGUUCGUCUAGAUUCGAGGGUGUCGAGAUUGAACAAUAUGCAACGAUCACUGUAUGACGGUAAUGCGGUGGUGGAAUUUCCAAAGAGGCGACGAUAUAGGCACCUAGUGAAGCGCUUUUGCACACCUCCGAGUUUGUUAUUCCAACCUGCCCUGUUAGUACAGAAGACAACAGAAGCAUACUCAACAACAGGGCGCACUAGGGAACAAUACAAUGCCUUAAGGCACCUCAAAUCGGAGAAGCCCAACGUCAUGCGAAAAAUAAGGCCAAGGUUUGAAUAUGCUUUACCGAUGACCAAUUCAAGGUGACUAUCGAAUGAUAGCCUUUCGUCUAACAUAACACCUAAGUCGCAAACACAUGACACCCUGUUGAUAACAGUGUUAUUAAGAACAUA
This is a long non-coding RNA of Anopheles coluzzii, 1804 nucleotides long. RefSeq lists it as uncharacterized. The transcript is spliced from 3 exons. The record is from RefSeq and is a predicted model, not a curated record. NCBI's taxonomy places the organism in Eukaryota, Metazoa, Arthropoda, Insecta, Diptera, Culicidae.